AUUAGAGUUUGAUCCUGGCUCAGGAUGAACGCUGGCGGCGUGCCUAAUACAUGCAAGUCGAGCGAAUGGAUUAAGAGCUUGCUCUUAUGAAGUUAGCGGCGGACGGGUGAGUAACACGUGGGUAACCUGCCCAUAAGACUGGGAUAACUCCGGGAAACCGGGGCUAAUACCGGAUAAUAUUUUGAACUGCAUGGUUCGAAAUUGAAAGGCGGCUUCGGCUGUCACUUAUGGAUGGACCCGCGUCGCAUUAGCUAGUUGGUGAGGUAACGGCUCACCAAGGCAACGAUGCGUAGCCGACCUGAGAGGGUGAUCGGCCACACUGGGACUGAGACACGGCCCAGACUCCUACGGGAGGCAGCAGUAGGGAAUCUUCCGCAAUGGACGAAAGUCUGACGGAGCAACGCCGCGUGAGUGAUGAAGGCUUUCGGGUCGUAAAACUCUGUUGUUAGGGAAGAACAAGUGCUAGUUGAAUAAGCUGGCACCUUGACGGUACCUAACCAGAAAGCCACGGCUAACUACGUGCCAGCAGCCGCGGUAAUACGUAGGUGGCAAGCGUUAUCCGGAAUUAUUGGGCGUAAAGCGCGCGCAGGUGGUUUCUUAAGUCUGAUGUGAAAGCCCACGGCUCAACCGUGGAGGGUCAUUGGAAACUGGGAGACUUGAGUGCAGAAGAGGAAAGUGGAAUUCCAUGUGUAGCGGUGAAAUGCGUAGAGAUAUGGAGGAACACCAGUGGCGAAAGCGACUUUCUGGUCUGUAACUGACACUGAGGCGCGAAAGCGUGGGGAGCAAACAGGAUUAGAUACCCUGGUAGUCCACGCCGUAAACGAUGAGUGCUAAGUGUUAGAGGGUUUCCGCCCUUUAGUGCUGAAGUUAACGCAUUAAGCACUCCGCCUGGGGAGUACGGCCGCAAGGCUGAAACUCAAAGGAAUUGACGGGGGCCCGCACAAGCGGUGGUGCAUGUGGUUUAAUUCGAAGCAACGCGAAGAACCUUACCAGGUCUUGACAUCCUCUGAAAACCCUAGAGAUAGGGCUUCUCCUUCGGGAGCAGAGUGACAGGUGGUGCAUGGUUGUCGUCAGCUCGUGUCGUGAGAUGUUGGGUUAAGUCCCGCAACGAGCGCAACCCUGAUCUUAGUUGCCAUCAUUAAGUUGGGCACUCUAAGGUGACUGCCGGUGACAAACCGGAGGAAGGUGGGGAUGACGUCAAAUCAUCAUGCCCCUUAUGACCUGGGCUACACACGUGCUACAAUGGACGGUACAAAGAGCUGCAAGACCGCGAGGUGGAGCUAAUCUCAUAAAACCGUUCUCAGUUCGGAUUGUAGGCUGCAACUCGCCUACAUGAAGCUGGAAUCGCUAGUAAUCGCGGAUCAGCAUGCCGCGGUGGAUACGUUCCCGGGCCUUGUACACACCGCCCGUCACACCACGAGAGUUUGUAACACCCGAAGUCGGUGGGGUAACCUUUUUGGAGCCAGCCGCCUAAGGUGGGACAGAUGAUUGGGGUGAAGUCGUAACAAGGUAACCGUAAAU
RNAcentral lists this ribosomal RNA (1521 nucleotides) under Bacillus sp. C08(2011). RNAcentral's name for it is "partial 16S ribosomal RNA". It matches the Rfam family "Bacterial small subunit ribosomal RNA". The record is from RNAcentral. Lineage: Bacteria; Bacillati; Bacillota; Bacilli; Caryophanales; Bacillaceae.